UUUAUGAAGGGUUUGAUCUUGGCUCAGAACGAACGCUGGCGGCGUGGAUUAGGCAUGCAAGUCGAACGAGGAUAUACCCUUCGGGGUGUAAACCGAGUGGCGCAAGGGUGAGUAAUGCAUAGAUUACCUGCCUCUAGGAUAAGGACAACUUUGUGAAAACGAAGCUAAUACUUAAUAAUACAAAAGGGAAUAAUUUUCUUUUGUCAAUGGGAGGGUAGCAAUACCUUUUGCCUGGAGAGGGGUUUAUGUCCUAUCAGCUUGUUGGUGGGGUAAUGGCCUACCAAGGCGAAGACGGGUAGCCGGUCUUAGAGGAUGGUCGGCCACACUGGGACUGAGACACUGCCCAGACUUCUACGGAAGGCUGCAGUCGAGAAUCUUUCGCAAUGCCCGAAAGGGUGACGAAGCGACGCCGCGUGAGUGAGGAAGGCCUUCGGGUUGUAAAGCUCUGUCAGGGGUUAAGAAAUGUAAGUGUGCUAAUACCACAUUUAUUUGACAAAAGCUCCAAAGGAAGCCACGGCUAACUCUGUGCCAGCAGCCGCGGUAAUACAGAGGUGGCAAGCGUUGUUCGGAAUUAUUGGGCGUAAAGAGCACGUAGGUGGGUUUGUAAGUCAGAUGUGAAAGCCUUCUGUUCAACGGAAGAAUUGCAUCUGAAACUGCGAGUCUUGAGUGUAGGAGGGGAGAAUGGAACUUCUGGUGGAGCGGUGAAAUGCGUAGAUAUCAGAAGGAACGCCGGCGGCGAAAGCGAUUCUCUGGCCUAUUACUGACACUCAGUGUGCGAAAGCUAGGGGAGCAAACGGGAUUAGAUACCCCGGUAGUCCUAGCUGUAAACGAUGGGCACUAAGUAGAGGGGAUUACCGAUGUUCUCUCUGCCGUAGCUAACGCAUUAAGUGCCCCGCCUGGGGAGUACGGCCGCAAGGCUAAAACUCAAAAGAAUUGACGGGGGCUCGCACAAGCGGUGGAGCAUGUGGUUUAAUUCGAUGCAACGCGGAGAACCUUACCGGGGCUUGACAUGGUAGAAGUAGGAACCCGAAAGGGUGACGAACGGUAUCCAGUCCGUAGCUAUCACAGGUGUUGCAUGGCUGUCGUCAGCUCGUGUCGUGAGACGUUGGGUUAAGUCCCCUAACGAGCGAAACCCUUGUUUUUAGUUACCAGCGGGUUAUGCCGGGUACUCUAGAAAGACUGCCGUCGUCAAGACGGAGGAAGGUGGGGAUGACGUCAAGUCAUCAUGGCCCUUAUGCCCCGGGCUACACACGUGCUACAAUGGUCGGUACAAACGGAAGCGAAGCCGAGAGGUGAAGCGAAUCCUAAAAAGCCGAUCUCAGUUCGGAUUGGAGGCUGAAAUUCGCUCCAUGAAGUUGGAAUCGCUAGUAAUCGCGGAUCAGCUCGCCGCGGUGAAUAUGUUCCCGAGCCUUGUACACACCGCCCGUCAAGCCACCCAAGCAGGAUGCACCCGAAAACAUUAUAUCUAACCAGGGCAACUUGGAGGAAAGUGUUGAAGGAGUGUUUUGUGAGGAGGACUAAGUCGUAACAAGGUAGUCGUAGGAGAACCUGCGGCUGGAUCACCUCCUUU
Non-coding RNA from Candidatus Scalindua brodae, 1570 nucleotides. NCBI's taxonomy places the organism in Bacteria, Pseudomonadati, Planctomycetota, Candidatus Brocadiia, Candidatus Brocadiales, Candidatus Scalinduaceae. The record is from Rfam.